AAGGAAUUAAGUAAUAGAAAUAGCUGCUAACUAAUUUCUAAAGCGGUUAAAAUCCGUUUAUUCCUUA
This 67-nucleotide transfer RNA is filed under the name Doratura stylata. RNAcentral describes it as "tRNA-Ser". Lineage: Eukaryota; Metazoa; Arthropoda; Insecta; Hemiptera; Cicadellidae. The record is from RNAcentral.